ACACAGGAAUGUUUCAACCUCCAUUGAGGUCUUUGUCAAACUUGACAAAGACCUCAGUGCAGGUUGAAACAUUUUGUUGU
This is a non-coding RNA of Pelobates cultripes (western spadefoot toad), 80 nucleotides long. NCBI's taxonomy places the organism in Eukaryota, Metazoa, Chordata, Amphibia, Anura, Pelobatidae. The record is from the annotation of a GenBank genome assembly.